Molecule: long non-coding RNA, 563 nt
Organism: Sceloporus undulatus (fence lizard)
Lineage: Eukaryota; Metazoa; Chordata; Lepidosauria; Squamata; Phrynosomatidae
Exons: 4
Source: RefSeq, a predicted model, not a curated record
CACAACUUGCAUAUUGCCAAACCCUUUGGAAGCUAGGAUUUCUGAGUUCUGCAAUUAAAAGAUAAAAAUCAAAUUCUUGUACCUGCUAAAAGAUGGGGAAUGGGACAAAGUGAAAAUAUUGUGUGGUCUAAGAGGAACAAAUAUUGCAAGUAUUGACAAGUUCUGUUCUGGACAGGAAGGAGGAGGAAAAAGAUGAUGAUGAUGAUGAAAGUGAAGAUGGAAAAUGUUAAGAUGGAGGGCUUUCCCACUGGCCAGCCUUUCCAGGGGGCAAAGACCGAGAAGCACAAGAGCAGCUGAAUUUCUACCUGUGUGGAAGGACGUUAUUUCAAGCCCCCAAAAGGGAAGUCCCAAAACAUCCGCCCGAGCACCGCGUUGACCCAAGCCGUGUGUGGUUCGCCAGCCGUGUUCGCAUCCCCAUGGAUCUGCAAAGAACAAAAAGGAGAAAGCAAUUGAUCACUGUCCCUGUUUGGAAGUCAUCAUCUUCAACUUGAAGAGCAUUUGCUUUUUACCUGACCGGAGUUCACUUAGGUUGGCAUUGUGGGGCUCACUACUCUCUACCCGGG